AACAGUAAAUUAAUUUACAAGAAGAGAGUCAACACAAAAGUUUUUUUGGUCUUGUUUUCUUUUGAAAAUGUUUGUUUGUUCUUCUAGAAAACAAUUUUGAUAAGCAAACAAAUGUCUUUGUUCUUUUUAAAAUCCUUUAUUACUGGGCCAGCAUUGCCUUCAGAAGCUUGAGACUUUGCUAACCACACAGUACUGUGGUUUUCG
Molecule: unclassified non-coding RNA, 204 nt
Filed under: Hevea brasiliensis (rubber tree)
Lineage: Eukaryota; Viridiplantae; Streptophyta; Magnoliopsida; Malpighiales; Euphorbiaceae
Source: RNAcentral